AGCUACGUCCCUCUCAAUGCUCCAAAAACCCAAGUGCUGAUGGAGAUCAGGGAGUAGCUGCCAAGGUCGAAAAGGAUGCGCACACACUCUGAGAAGUACAACCCUAACAAGUUUUGCCUCUAUCAUCGUGACCAUGGCCAUGACACGGAGGAGUGUAUUCAACUCUAAGAUGAGAUCGAGGAGCUCAUCAGACGAGGUUGGCUCGAUAGAUUCAUCCGAUGCCAGCCUGAAGAUAGGGA
RNAcentral lists this long non-coding RNA (239 nucleotides) under Elaeis guineensis (African oil palm). RNAcentral describes it as "long non-coding RNA (EGUI_LNC070850)". Lineage: Eukaryota; Viridiplantae; Streptophyta; Magnoliopsida; Arecales; Arecaceae. The record is from RNAcentral.